UGGGGAAUAUUGGACAAUGGGCGAAGGCCUGAUCCAGCAAUGCCGCGUGAGUGAUGAAGGCCUUAGGGUUGUAAAGCUCUUUUACCAGGGAUGAUAAUGACAGUACCUGGAGAAUAAGCUCCGGCUAACUCCGUGCCAGCAGCCGCGGUAAUACGGAGGGAGCUAGCGUUGUUCGGAAUUACUGGGCGUAAAGCGUACGUAGGCGGUGACUCAAGUCAGAGGUGAAAGCCUGGAGCUCAACUCCAGAACUGCCUUUGAAACUAGGUCGCUAGAAUCACGGAGAGGUGAGUGGAAUUCCGAGUGUAGAGGUGAAAUUCGUAGAUAUUCGGAAGAACACCAGUGGCGAAGGCGGCUCACUGGACGUGUAUUGACGCUGAGGUACGAAAGCGUGGGGAGCAAACAGGAUUAGAUACCCUUGUAGUCCCUGAGCGGGCUGGCAAGGCGCAU
RNAcentral lists this ribosomal RNA (447 nucleotides) under uncultured bacterium. RNAcentral's name for it is "bacterial SSU rRNA". It matches the Rfam family "Bacterial small subunit ribosomal RNA", at positions 355 to 825 of the family's 1533-position model. The record is from RNAcentral.